AGAGUUUGAUCCUGGCUCAGAACGAACGCUGGCGGCAUGCCUAACACAUGCAAGUCGAACGAAGCCUUCGGGCUUAGUGGCGCACGGGUGCGUAACGCGUGGGAAUCUGCCCUCAGGUACGGAAUAACUCAGGGAAACUUGAGCUAAUACCGUAUAAUGACUUCGGUCCAAAGAUUUAUCGCCUGAGGAUGAGCCCGCGUCGGAUUAGCUAGUUGGUGAGGUAAAGGCUCACCAAGGCGACGAUCCGUAGCUGGUCUGAGAGGAUGAUCAGCCACACUGGGACUGAGACACGGCCUAGACUCCUACGGGAGGCAGCAGUGGGGAAUAUUGGACAAUGGGCGCAAGCCUGAUCCAGCAAUGCCGCGUGAGUGAUGAAGGCCUUAGGGUUGUAAAGCUCUUUUACCCGGGAUGAUAAUGACAGUACCGGGAGAAUAAGCCCCGGCUAACUACGUGCCAGCCGCCGCGGUAAUAC
RNAcentral lists this ribosomal RNA (472 nucleotides) under uncultured bacterium. Its description in RNAcentral is "bacterial SSU rRNA". It matches the Rfam family "Bacterial small subunit ribosomal RNA", at positions 8 to 526 of the family's 1533-position model. The record is from RNAcentral.